This 343-nucleotide long non-coding RNA is filed under the name Phaseolus vulgaris (common bean). RNAcentral describes it as "long non-coding RNA (PVUL_LNC000793)". The record is from RNAcentral. Lineage: Eukaryota; Viridiplantae; Streptophyta; Magnoliopsida; Fabales; Fabaceae.
UCGUUGAGAGCGGGGUUUCCUUAGGUCAGAGCAUACAUGGCGAGUAGCAUUGGCGGCAGGCGAUUUUGCAGAGAUUGUGCUCCUCGUGGCACUUAGUGCUCACCAGAGUAAGCUACAUGGCGAGUUAUUCCCUGCAUGGGUAACUUGUCGCGUGCGAGGUGAAUGUAGGUGGCCUUGGUUCUAGGCGUUUCGGUAAAGUUGAAUGUUGCUUUGAGGUAACUUGUUGGUUAUAUUUUUGGGUAUGUUUUUCUCACUUUAUGGUUGUUCUGCUCCAACCAUAAAGGAGAGUUUCUUUUGUAGAUGAUAUAGGAAGUCCACUUGUGGUUACUGUAUAUGGGUUAGG